RNAcentral lists this ribosomal RNA (253 nucleotides) under uncultured bacterium. RNAcentral's name for it is "partial 16S ribosomal RNA". It matches the Rfam family "Bacterial small subunit ribosomal RNA", at positions 524 to 776 of the family's 1533-position model. The record is from RNAcentral.
GACGGAGGAUGCAAGCGUUAUCCGGAAUGAUUGGGCGUAAAGCGUCCGCAGGUGGCAGUUCAAGUCUGCUGUCAAAGACCGGGGCUUAACUUCGGAAAGGCAGUGGAAACUGAACAGCUAGAGUAUGGUAGGGGCAGAGGGAAUUCCUGGUGUAGCGGUGAAAUGCGCAGAUAUCAGGAGGAACACCGGUGGCGAAGGCGGUGGUCUGGGCCGGCACUGACGCUGAGGAGCGAAAGCGUGGGUAGCAAACAGG